Molecule: ribosomal RNA, 253 nt
Filed under: uncultured bacterium
Lineage: Bacteria
Description: partial 16S ribosomal RNA
Rfam family: Bacterial small subunit ribosomal RNA
Source: RNAcentral
UACGUAGGGUGCAAGCGUUGUCCGGAAUUAUUGGGCGUAAAGAGCUCGUAGGCGGUCUGUCACGUCGGCUGUGAAAACCCGAGGUUCAACCUCGGGCCUGCAGUCGAUACGGGCAAACUAGAGUACUGCAGGGGAGACUGGAAUUCCUGGUGUAGCGGUGAAAUGCGCAGAUAUCAGGAGGAACACCGGUGGCGAAGGCGGGUCUCUGGGCAGUAACUGACGCUGAGGAGCGAAAGCGUGGGGAGCGAACAGG